This is a long non-coding RNA of Mobula hypostoma (lesser devil ray), 1143 nucleotides long. RefSeq lists it as uncharacterized. The record is from RefSeq and is a predicted model, not a curated record. The transcript has 3 exons. Lineage: Eukaryota; Metazoa; Chordata; Chondrichthyes; Myliobatiformes; Myliobatidae.
GUGAAGGAGUUACUCCAGACACUUCUCUUAGGCUCUCCAUUACUUCAAAAUCCAAUAAGAGCAACAGGAUUUUUCUUGAUUUGAUAUUAUUUCAACACUCCCUUGUACUUCAUUCAGUGCUUUAUUGCUGUAUGCAGAAGGAGCAGAAGCCGGUUCUAAAGUUACUUCUGUGUUAGCAAAGUUCAAUGGCCAGCACCCUUGCUUCUGAGCAAGAACUCUUGGGUCCAGAAUAACAAAAUCUGUGACAAAUCUGGACUACCAAAGUACUGAGGGAGUGUUACACUGUCAAAUGUUCCGACUUUCAGAUGAGAUACUUAAAUAGUUACACUGUCUGGCUGUCGCAUGCGGGCGUGACAGGUUCCAUUAGGAGAGGAAGGGAGAUGCAUAUCCAGUGUAAUACAAAUCCCUCAAUCAGAAUCAGGUGAUUUGUCACAAGUACUCGUGACUUCUUGACCUCUGUGGUUUCAUCAUUGCAACGGCACCAGCGUUUAAAGUGUACAUCACUGGCUGCAACUUGCUUUCAGAUGUUCCCAGGAUGUGAAAAGCACCAGGAAAAUGCAAAUGGGGGUCUCUUGGAGUAUACAGAGAAGUUUGGUGUAACCAUCACAAAGGCUGUGUGGGGAAGGAGCACAGUCUCAGGUCAUGCCACUACUGGGAUUGAGAAGUAAACACAUCAGCAGAUGCCCCAGUGUCUCACUGAUGGAAUGCUGAAGGAGGAAACGUUAGUGAGAUAUUGAGCCGUGCACAAUCCUGAUUGAUGGAGACGGACGUGAGAAGCACGGAGGAACAUCUGGAGAAACUUCUGAAAUGCCCGCUUCGCUGCCACUGCUCCUGUGCGAUCAAGAAUCUCUGGAGGGAAGGCACCAAAUCCUUGGCUUUGCCUGCUGCUGGUGGCCGGAGCUGGGGUCGAAGCGCUCAGCAGAAAUAGUGCUCAGUGCUCGGUGUCGGAGGGCUGGUCGGAGGCUCGAAGUUUUCGGAUGGACUGAGAGUCGGACUGUAGUCGGGUACUUCCAGGGUGCUGCAUCGGCAAGUUUGCAGCGCUGGAAGCUCAUGGCGGGGCGAGUUUUCUUCCUUCUACCAUCUGCGUGAGAUGUUGGGACUUUCGAGAGACUUUGAGACUUUUUUUACUGUGCCCAUGGUCUG